AGUUCAGUGGUAGAACAUCACCUUGCCAAGGUGGGGGUCGCGGGUUCGAAUCCCGUCGUUCGCU
This 64-nucleotide transfer RNA is filed under the name Streptococcus downei F0415. RNAcentral describes it as "tRNA-Gly". It matches the Rfam family "tRNA", at positions 9 to 71 of the family's 71-position model. From Rfam's summary of the family: Transfer RNA (tRNA) molecules are approximately 80 nucleotides in length. Their secondary structure includes four short double-helical elements and three loops (D, anti-codon, and T loops). Lineage: Bacteria; Bacillati; Bacillota; Bacilli; Lactobacillales; Streptococcaceae. The record is from RNAcentral.